Molecule: transfer RNA, 86 nt
Filed under: Pseudobdellovibrionaceae bacterium
Lineage: Bacteria; Pseudomonadati; Bdellovibrionota; Bdellovibrionia; Bdellovibrionales; Pseudobdellovibrionaceae
Description: Bdellovibrionaceae bacterium (stromatolite metagenome) tRNA-Leu
Rfam family: tRNA
About the family: Transfer RNA (tRNA) molecules are approximately 80 nucleotides in length. Their secondary structure includes four short double-helical elements and three loops (D, anti-codon, and T loops).
Source: RNAcentral
GCGCUCGUGGUGAAAUGGCAGACACGCCAGCUUGAGGGGCUGGUGGGGGCAACCCCGUGGAGGUUCAAGUCCUCUCGAGCGCACCA